RNAcentral lists this ribosomal RNA (498 nucleotides) under uncultured bacterium. RNAcentral describes it as "partial 16S ribosomal RNA". It matches the Rfam family "Bacterial small subunit ribosomal RNA", at positions 30 to 523 of the family's 1533-position model. The record is from RNAcentral.
AUUGAACGCUGGCGGCAUGCCUUACACAUGCAAGUCGAACGGUAACAGGUCUUCGGAUGCUGACGAGUGGCGAACGGGUGAGUAAUACAUCGGAACGUGCCUAGUAGUGGGGGAUAACUACUCGAAAGAGUGGCUAAUACCGCAUGAGAUCUACGGAUGAAAGCAGGGGAUCGCAAGACCUUGUGCUACUAGAGCGGCCGAUGGCGGAUUAGGUAGUUGGUGGGAUAAAAGCUUACCAAGCCGACGAUCUGUAGCUGGUCUGAGAGGACGAACAGCCACACUGGGACUGAGACACGGCCCCGACUCCUACGGGAGGCAGCAGUGGGGAAGUUUGGACAAUGGGCGCAAGCCUGAUCCAGCAAUGCCGCGUGAAGGAUGAAGGCCUUCGGGUUGUAAACUGCUUUUGUACGGAACGAAAAGCCCCGGGUUAAUACCCUGGGGUCAUGACGGUACCGUAAGAAUAAGCACCGGCUAACUACGUGCCAGCAGCCGCCGUAA